RNAcentral lists this ribosomal RNA (496 nucleotides) under uncultured bacterium. RNAcentral's name for it is "partial 16S ribosomal RNA". It matches the Rfam family "Bacterial small subunit ribosomal RNA", at positions 29 to 507 of the family's 1533-position model. The record is from RNAcentral.
AUGAACGCUGGCGGCGUGCCUCAUACAUGCAAGUCGAGCGAACAGACGAGGAGCUUGCUCCUCUGACGUUAGCAGCGGACGGGUGAGUAACACGUGGAUAACCUACCUAUAAGACUGGGAUAACUUCGGGAAACCGGAGCUAAUACCGGAUAAUAUAUUGAACCGCAUGGUUCAAUAGUGAAAGACGGUUUUGCUGUCACUUAUAGAUGGAUCCGCGCCGCAUUAGCUAGUUGGUAAGGUAACGGCUUACCAAGGCAACGAUGCGUAGCCGACCUGAGAGGGUGAUCGGCCACACUGGAACUGAGACACGGUCCAGACUCCUACGGGAGGCAGCAGUAGGGAAUCUUCCGCAAUGGGCGAAAGCUUGACGGAGCAACGCCGCGUGAGUGAUGAAGGUCUUCGGAUCGUAAAACUCUGUUAUUAGGGAAGAACAAAUGUGUAAGUAACUAUGCACGUCUUGACGGUACCUAAUCAGAAAGCCACGGCUAACUACGUG